This 74-nucleotide transfer RNA is filed under the name Planctomycetaceae bacterium. RNAcentral's name for it is "tRNA-Met". It matches the Rfam family "tRNA". From Rfam's summary of the family: Transfer RNA (tRNA) molecules are approximately 80 nucleotides in length. Lineage: Bacteria; Pseudomonadati; Planctomycetota; Planctomycetia; Planctomycetales; Planctomycetaceae. The record is from RNAcentral.
GGCGGGGUAGCUCAGUCGGUUAGAGCACAGGCUUCAUAAGCCUGGGGUCGCGGGUUCAAGUCCCGCCCCCGCUA